RNAcentral lists this ribosomal RNA (428 nucleotides) under Bacteroidota bacterium. RNAcentral describes it as "Bacteroidetes bacterium partial 16S ribosomal RNA". It matches the Rfam family "Bacterial small subunit ribosomal RNA", at positions 356 to 776 of the family's 1533-position model. Lineage: Bacteria; Pseudomonadati; Bacteroidota. The record is from RNAcentral.
UAGGAAUCUUCGGCAAUGGGGGGAACCCUGACCGAGCAACGCCGCGUGAGUGAAGAAGGUUUUCGGAUCGUAAAGCUCUGUUGUUAAGGAAGAACGAGUGUGAGAAUGGAAAGUUCAUGCUGUGACGGUACUUAACCAGAAAGGGACGGCUAACUACGUGCCAGCAGCCGCGGUAAUACGUAGGUCCCGAGCGUUGUCCGGAUUUAUUGGGCGUAAAGCGAGCGCAGGCGGUUAGAAAAGUCUGAAGUGAAAGGCAGUGGCUCAACCAUUGUAGGCUUUGGAAACUGUUUAACUUGAGUGCAGAAGGGGAGAGUGGAAUUCCAUGUGUAGCGGUGAAAUGCGUAGAUAUAUGGAGGAACACCGGUGGCGAAAGCGGCUCUCUGGUCUGUAACUGACGCUGAGGCUCGAAAGCGUGGGGAGCGAACAGG